CGUACGAGCCGAAUAAGGUGAAACCGCAAAAGGCUCAUUAAAUCAGUUUUGGUUCACUAGAGCGUGUUGACAGUUUCUGUCUUGGAUAACUGUGGUAAUUCUAGAGCUAAUACAUGCAACAAAGUUUUAACCAGUGAUGGAAGAAACGCUUUUAUUAGAUCAAAAUCAAUCGGUCUGGUUUUACUAGUCCGUUGACUUUGGUGACUCUGAAUAACCACGUAGAUCGCAUGGUCUUGUACCGGCGACUUAUCUUUCAAAUGCCUGACUUAUCAACUGUCGAUGGUAGACUCUGUGUCUACCAUGGUUGUAACGGGUAACGGAGAAUCAGGGUUCGAUUCCGGAGAGGGAGCCUGAGAAACGGCUACCACAUCCAAGGAAGGCAGCAGGCACGCAAAUUACCCACUCCCGGCACGGGGAGGUAGUGACAAAAAAUAACGAUACGGGACUCAUCCGAGGCCCCGUAAUCGGAAUGAGUACACUCUAAAUCCUUUAACAAGGAUCCAUUGGAGGGCAAGUCUGGUGCCAGCAGCCGCGGUAAUUCCAGCUCCAAUAGCGUAUAUUAAAGUUGUUGCGGUUAAAAAGCUCGUAGUUGGUUCUGUGUGCCACGCUGUCGGUUCACCGCCUGCCGGUGCAACUGGCAUGUCGUGGGAUGUCCUGCCGGAGGCGUUCUGUGAAACUUAAGUAUAGUAUCAAUAAUUUUAUUGGUUCUAUCUUUUGUCCUCAGUCGCCGAUUUAAUCCUGCCGUGGUGCUCUUCACCGAGUGUCGAGGUAGGCCGGCACGUUUACUUUGAACAAAUUAGAGUGCUCAAAGCAGGCUGAAUUCUGCCUGAAUAGUGGUGCAUGGAAUAAUAGAACAGGACCUCGAUUCUAUUUUGUUGGUUUUCGGAAUUCGAGGUAAUGAUCAAUGUGGACAGUCGGGGGCAUUCGUAUUGCGACGUUAGAGGUGAAAUUCUUGGAUCGUCGCAAGACGCACGAGAGCGAAAGCAUUUGCCAAGUAUGUCUUAGUUGAUCAAGAACGAAAGUUAGAGGUUCGAAGGCGAUCAGAUACCGCCCUAGUUCUAACCAUAAACGAUGCCAGCUAGCGAUCCGCCAAUGUUUAUAUCAUGACUCGGCGGGCAGCCCCCGGGAAACCAAAGCUUUUGGGUUCCGGGGGAAGUAUGGUUGCAAAGCUGAAACUUAAAGGAAUUGACGGAAGGGCACCACCAGGAGUGGAGCAUGCGGCUUAAUUUGACUCAACACGGGAAACCUCACCAGGCCCGGACAUUGGAAGGAUUGACAGAUUGAUAGCUCUUUCUUGAUUCAGUGGGUAGUGGUGCAUGGCCGUUCUUAGUUGGUGGAACGAUUUGUCUGGUUAAUUUCGAUAACGAACGAGACUCUAGCCUAUUAAAUAGUCGCUCCGGUAUCCAAUGCUACCGGCGACAUUUUAUCUUCUUAAAGGGACAGGCGGCUCUCAGCCGCACGAGAUUGAGCAAUAACAGGUCUGUGAUGCCCUUAGAUGUUCUGGGCCGCACGCGCGCUACACUGAAAGAAUCAGCGUGUGUCUCCCUGGCCGAAAGGCCCGGGUAACCCGCUGAACCUCUUUCGUGCUAGGAAUUGGGGCUUGCAAUUGUUCCCCAUGAACGAGGAAUUCCCAGUAAGCGCGAGUCAUAAGCUCGCGUUGAUUACGUCCCUGCCCUUUGUACACACCGCCCGUCGCUACUACCGAUUGAAUGAUUUAGUGAGGUCUUCGGACUGGUGAUGAGCGGCAAUCGUCUUGUACGGUGCCGAAGUUACCGGAAAGAUGACCAAACUUGAUCAUUUAGAGGAAGUAAAAGUCGUAACAAGGUUUCCGUAGGAAAACCCUUGCGGAAAACCUUGGUUACGACUUUUUAC
RNAcentral lists this ribosomal RNA (1872 nucleotides) under Micronecta sp. RNAcentral's name for it is "SSU rRNA". It matches the Rfam family "Eukaryotic small subunit ribosomal RNA". The record is from RNAcentral. Lineage: Eukaryota; Metazoa; Arthropoda; Insecta; Hemiptera; Micronectidae.